This 407-nucleotide ribosomal RNA is filed under the name uncultured bacterium. RNAcentral describes it as "partial 16S ribosomal RNA". It matches the Rfam family "Bacterial small subunit ribosomal RNA", at positions 28 to 526 of the family's 1533-position model. The record is from RNAcentral.
GACGAACGCUGGCGGCGUGCCUAAUACAUGCAAGUAGAACGCAGUUGGGAACGGGGGAGUAACGCGUAGGUAACUGCCUCAUAGCGGGGGAUAACUAUCGGAAACGAUAACUAAUACCGCAUACAGUGGGAUGGACCUGCGUUGCAUUAGCUAGUUGGUGAGGUAAAGGCUUACCAAGGCGACGAUACAUAGCCGAACUGAGAGGGGGAUCGUGCAAACCUGGACUGAGACACGGGCCAGACGCCUAAGGGAGGCAGCAGUAGGGAAUCAUCGGCAAUGGAGGGAAGUCUGACCGAGCAAAGGCGCCGGAGUGAAGAAGGUUUGUGGAUCGGUAAGCUCUGUUGUUAGAGAAGCGGUAACUAACCAGAAAGGGACGGCUAACUCCGUGCCAGCAGCCGCGGUAAUAC